This is a long non-coding RNA of Tribolium madens (black flour beetle), 3092 nucleotides long. RefSeq lists it as uncharacterized. The record is from RefSeq and is a predicted model, not a curated record. The transcript has 3 exons. Lineage: Eukaryota; Metazoa; Arthropoda; Insecta; Coleoptera; Tenebrionidae.
UUAGUCGAGGUGGUGGUCACGUUUUGAGAUUAUUCACUAGGAAACAAAUUUGUCACUUCACUUUAAUGAAAAAUCGAAAGUCGCGCACCGACAACCGAUCUAUUGGCGAACAUUGUUAAAACUACUGAAGUUUACAACUUGCAACAUGAUGGCAAUAAACAAGCUAUAAUACGAGUACGGCUACGUCAACAAGGACGCAUAUUAAUGAAAAGUCCCCGUCAGAUUUUCAACAUUUACCGACUUUGUUCGUGAGCCGUUUGUGUGUGGCAUACAAAACGCACCGUCGUCUUAUCACUGGACACUUAUCUACUGCUCCACGGUACACAAACGAAGUAAAUAAUUUGGGAUACCUACCUAUCUGGAGAUAAUAGUGAUAAAAUCACCGGAACUGUUGUAUGUAUGUAUAUUUUCAGUGGUUGCACAUGCAAUAAAACUAAAAGGCUGGAUAAUUGACAAACACAGAAUGUAACAAUUAGUUUCUUCAAUCCACCUGCUUGCAAUCCGGUAAAAAGCAAUGUUGUAAGAUUAUUAGUUGCAAGAUUGCGUUGGUGAGACCAGGUGAAGCUUGUGGGCAGCAAUAAUAGCACAACAGUAUCCAUGCCUAUAUCAGGCUAGAUGCAUGCAAAUAUCUCGUUAUUGUUUCACCACAAUCGAAGUUUCGAGGGCAAAUCGGUAGCUUGRUGAUCUUACCUGAUAUGGCGAUGUCUGGAAGAUGGUCGUGAUCCGAGGAACUGGAAAAAGCCCACGUGUUUCGUACACCCACGUGACUCCAGAUGUYACGCACGCCACUGUCUUCACCACUCCUGCAAAACAAAUCACGAUUAAUUGUUUUGAUAUAGACGUCGUUUACCUGGCACAGGACCGAAAUGAAUUAUUUAUUGAUCGGGUGGGCGGCCCGGCCGCUUGCUCAAUUUUUUUGUGUAAACUGGCCCAUUAUGUUAAUUGUCUUGCAAUUACCGAUUAUGCAAGUGUGUCACGACGACGGUCACUUUUCGAUGCCGCAGGAUGACAUUUGAAAAAAGCGAGCUUUGAAGACAUUUACUGUUUUAACCGUAAUGAAGUACAAUUUGUUUGAGAGGAAUUUUAUUAGAAUUAAUUAAAAUAUUUCCACUUGAGAAUUUAUUGAAGUCGUUAUUGCAGCUGCAAGGAUAUGCUAAGGCUGGAACAGGUAGCUAGCAAAAAUGCUGAAGCUGCGCGAUAAAAGAUUCAAGCUUUGAUAAGUCGUAAAAUAUUGUUACGAUAUUUUCAACUUUUAUAUGCUGGGAGACAGGAAAGUGUGUUUAAUUUUUUUGACUGUAAUUAUGUAAUUAAAGACCUAAGCAGUCGUCUGCAAAAAUAAGGCACAGGAACUUAAUUGAAAUAUAUAUUUAAAAGGCUUCUCAGGAUGAAAAAAUAUUUGAUUAAAAAUAAAAUGAAAUAAGAAUUAAGUUGUAUUAAAUUACUUUCAGGAGGCACUUUACUCUUAUCAAAUUUAUAUACUUGUUUUACCUAACAAGAAGAAAUUAUUCUUUUAGCCUACUUUUAGAAAGUAUGUUACUGAUAGUCAUGUUUACAUUUAAGUGAUUGUUUUGUGUAACUUAUCGUUAAUAAAAACUACACACACUUAUGCUAAAAAUUACACAAAGUAAAUUUGCUUUAAUAGUAUUGCAAAAAUUAAAAUAAUACUUGUAAAUUACAAGAGGAAAGGUUUUUGAAGAACCAGAAUUAGGUAAGUUUUUAUUUAAAAACUUGUAUCUACAAUAGUACCUUUUGCAGCGACAUUAAUUUUAAUUAAUCACUUACUUAUAAAAAAUUUAUGAUGAGCUCUCGAAUUUACUAUUUUUUUAAUAAAAGCAAUUGUUUACUAUUGCUAGAAAUUAUUACAAUAUUUGCUAAUGUUAAAUUAUACGGAGAGGAUUAUAAAAAACGCCCCAAGCCAUAACUUUAUUAUUUUUAAAGAUAUGUAUGACAAUACUUCUUUGAUCAAAGUUCAACAGUUUAUUGUGAGCAGUUUUUUUUUGGAUAGAUGCACAAUAACAAUAAACUGUGCAAUUUUGUUCCAAGGAGUAUUAUCUAUUGUCAUGUCUUUAAAAAUAAUGAAGUUAUGGCUUGAGGCGGUUUUUUAUGUAAAGUACAUAAAAGAAAAAGUCAUUUAAAUGUAUUAAUUAAAAAUAUAUUUUAUUAAAAAAAGAUUUACUUUAUUUACUUUGGUCAGGACAUUUUUGUUGGGUUUACAAUUGACAUUUUUAGUCAUAAUUCUUUUUUUUUAAUCUAUAGUAAGAAUUAAAUAUUUACUACUGGUGCAAACUUACAACACUAAAACUCCAGAAUAUUUCUUCUACCUGUUAAAACUAGCUUAUUAUCCUUACACGAGGGUGAGAAAAUAUCCCUCCCCACAGAACACAAUAUUUUAUUUUUUGUUUAAUUUUUUUCAUUAUUUUUUGUAUAAAUCAUAGCGCCUAGAUAUAGAUCUUAAUAUUAUUGUAACACCAUUUUAUUGCGGAUUUUUUUUAAAUUUCACUUUGGUGAAUAAUUACUACUGGAACUAUCGUUAUUGAUAAACUGCAAUAAUAUUAAGAGCUUUAUCUUUUAUCUUUAUCAAUCAUUUAUGUAUUAUCAAAAUUUAAUAAAAAUUGAAGGGACUUUGAAGAAAAAUUUCUGAAUUUGAAAUACAAUUCAGAAAAUUCAUAUAAAAUACAUAAAAUACAAACAGUUUUCUUGAAUUUGUUAAACGUUUUAAUAGAUUAAAGUGAUAAAAUUAGGAGCAGACUUUCAAAAUGCAGUUUGUCCAUGUAUUUAUGAAUUGAGAUAAAGGUUUUUUUGUAAAAUGCCUAAGUACUCCAGCCGUAAAAUUAGUGUCCAAUUGUGUUUAAUGUGUACAUAUUUUUUCACAUUUAUUGCGACUGAUAUAAAAAAUUUAAAUUAUUUUUUAAAAGAAGKACAGUUUUUGCUCUCUCCUGCAAAAAUGCAAAUUUGCACAAACUGCUUUUUGAAAGUCUGCUCCUCAAAUAGUAUUUAAUAUAAUACGACGUGUAUUGCCUUACAUGACAUAACUAGUAAAAUAAAUAGUUUAAGUGUUUAUUUACAAAACUUUGKAAUGUUAUCGUUUUAUU